This 335-nucleotide unclassified non-coding RNA is filed under the name soil metagenome. RNAcentral describes it as "partial contains 5.8S ribosomal RNA, internal transcribed spacer 2, and large subunit ribosomal RNA". The stretch from base 1 to 120 matches the Rfam family "5.8S ribosomal RNA", at positions 35 to 154 of the family's 154-position model. The record is from RNAcentral.
GAUGAAGAACGUAGCUAAAUGCGAUAAGUAAUGUGAAUUGCAGAAUUCAGUGAAUCAUCGAAUCUUUGAACGCACAUUGCGCCCGCCAGUAUUCUGGCGGGCAUGCCUGUUCGAGCGUCAUUUCAACCAUCAAGCCCCCGGCUUGUGUUGGGGACCUGCGGCUGCCGCAGGCCCUGAAAACCAGUGGCGGGCUCGCUAGUCACUCCGAGCGUAGUAAUACAUCUCGCUCAGGGCGUGCUGCGGGUUCCGGCCGUUAAAAAGCCUUAUUUACCCAAGGUUGACCUCGGAUCAGGUAGGAAGACCCGCUGAACUUAAGCAUAUCAAUAAGCGGAGGA